GAUGAACGCUGGCGGCGUGCCUAAUACAUGCAAGUCGAGCGAACAGACGAGGAGCUUGCUCCUCUGACGUUAGCGGCGGACGGGUGAGUAACACGUGGAUAACCUACCUAUAAGACUGGGAUAACUUCGGGAAACCGGAGCUAAUACCGGAUAAUAUAUUGAACCGCAUGGUUCAAUAGUGAAAGACGGUUUUGCUGUCACUUAUAGAUGGAUCCGCGCCGCAUUAGCUAGUUGGUAAGGUAACGGCUUACCAAGGCAACGAUGCGUAGCCGACCUGCGAGGGUGAUCGGCCACACUGGAACUGAGACACGGUCCAGACUCCUACGGGAGGCAGCAGUAGGGAAUCUUCCGCAAUGGGCGAAAGCCUGACGGAGCAACGCCGCGUGAGUGAUGAAGGUCUUCGGAUCGUGAAACUCUGUUAUUAGGGAAGAACAAAUGUGUAAGUAACUAUGCACGUCUUGACGGUACCUAAUCAGAAAGCCACGGCUAACUACGUG
This 497-nucleotide ribosomal RNA is filed under the name uncultured bacterium. RNAcentral's name for it is "partial 16S ribosomal RNA". It matches the Rfam family "Bacterial small subunit ribosomal RNA", at positions 28 to 507 of the family's 1533-position model. The record is from RNAcentral.